This 497-nucleotide ribosomal RNA is filed under the name uncultured bacterium. Its description in RNAcentral is "partial 16S ribosomal RNA". It matches the Rfam family "Bacterial small subunit ribosomal RNA", at positions 28 to 507 of the family's 1533-position model. The record is from RNAcentral.
GAUGAACGCUGGCGGCGUGCCUAAUACAUGCAAGUCGAGCGAACAGACGAGGAGCUUGCUCCUUUGACGUUAGCGGCGGACGGGUGAGUAACACGUGGAUAACCUACCUAUAAGACUGGGAUAACUUCGGGAAACCGGAGCUAAUACCGGAUAACAUGUUGAACCGCAUGGUUCAACAGUGAAAGACGGUCUUGCUGUCACUUAUAGAUGGAUCCGCGCCGCAUUAGCUAGUUGGUAAGGUAACGGCUUACCAAGGCAACGAUGCGUAGCCGACCUGAGAGGGUGAUCGGCCACACUGGAACUGAGACACGGUCCAGAUUCCUACGGGAGGCAGCAGUAGGGAAUCUUCCGCAAUGGGCGAAAGCCUGACGGAGCAACGCCGCGUGAGUGAAGAAGGUCUUCGGAUCGUAAAACUCUGUUAUUAGGGAAGAACAAAUGUGUAAGUAACUAUGCACGUCUUGACGGUACCUAAUCAGAAAGCCACGGCUAACUACGUG